AACAUCAUUCGCGUGAUCACCCUUUACAUAAAGGUAUUGAUUCUUUUUCUGUAGAAUCAAUCACUGGAGGUUUACAUGUGGACAUUAUGCGUAGAUUGACCUUUAAGUAGGAGCACGUUUCUGGGCGCCUGAUGUUGACUAUAAAGUCAUGGGACAUUGGGAAUCAGUUGUGACUACAUUU
Molecule: small nucleolar RNA, 181 nt
Filed under: Lodderomyces elongisporus NRRL YB-4239
Lineage: Eukaryota; Fungi; Ascomycota; Pichiomycetes; Serinales; Debaryomycetaceae
Description: Small nucleolar RNA snR32
Rfam family: Small nucleolar RNA snR32
Source: Rfam by way of RNAcentral